RNAcentral lists this ribosomal RNA (405 nucleotides) under bacterium enrichment culture clone ALO1_GLFRUDD03FU0ZS. RNAcentral describes it as "bacterial SSU rRNA". It matches the Rfam family "Bacterial small subunit ribosomal RNA", at positions 9 to 416 of the family's 1533-position model. The record is from RNAcentral.
GAGUUUGAUCUUGGCUCAGAUUGAACGCUGGCGGCAGGCCUAACACAUGCAAGUCGGACGGCAGCACGGGAGCUUGCUCCUGGUGGCGAGUGGCGAACGGGUGAGUAAUGCAUCGGAACGUAGUCCUGGAGUGGGGGAUAACGUAGCGAAAGUUACGCUAAUACCGCAUAUUCUGUGAGCAGGAAAGCGGGGGACCUUCGGGCCUCGCGCUCUUGGAGCGGCCGAUGUCGGAUUAGCUAGUUGGUGAGGUAAAGGCUCACCAAGGCGACGAUCCGUAGCAGGUCUGAGAGGAUGAUCUGCCACACUGGAACUGAGACACGGUCCAGACUCCUACGGGAGGCAGCAGUGGGGAUUUGGACAAUGGGGCAACCCUGAUCCAGCCAUGCCGCGUGAGUGAAGAAGGCC